AAAUUUUUAGUUUAGAUUUUAAAAUAAUUUAUUUACAAUAAAUAGAAUUUAUUAAUUAAAAAAGUUUU
This 68-nucleotide transfer RNA is filed under the name Cephalonomia gallicola. RNAcentral describes it as "tRNA-Val". The record is from RNAcentral. Lineage: Eukaryota; Metazoa; Arthropoda; Insecta; Hymenoptera; Bethylidae.